AGGCAGCAGUGGGGAAUAUUGCACAAUGGGGGAAACCCUGAUGCAGCCAUGCCGCGUGUGUGAAGAAGGCCUUCGGGUUGUAAAGCACUUUCAGUAGGGAGGAAGGUAGUGUAGUUAACACCUGCAUUAUUUGACGUUACCUACAGAAGAAGCACCGGCUAACUCCGUGCCAGCAGCCGCGGUAAUACGGAGGGUGCGAGCGUUAAUCGGAAUUACUGGGCGUAAAGCGCAUGCAGGCGGCCUGUUAAGUCAGAUGUGAAAGCCCCGGGGCUUAACCUCGGAAUUGCAUUUGAAACUGGCAGGCUAGAGUCUUGUAGAGGGGGUAGAAUUUCAGGUGUAGCGGUGAAAUGCGUAGAGAUCUGAAGGAAUACCAGUGGCGAAGGCGGCCCCCUGGACAAAGACUGACGCUCAGAUGCGAAAGCGUGGGGAGCAAACAGGAUUAGAUACCCUGGUAG
RNAcentral lists this ribosomal RNA (455 nucleotides) under uncultured bacterium. RNAcentral describes it as "bacterial SSU rRNA". It matches the Rfam family "Bacterial small subunit ribosomal RNA", at positions 346 to 793 of the family's 1533-position model. The record is from RNAcentral.